CAUUAUAUUGACAGCCAUGAAAUCGCUAAUGCGGCGAUUAAUGCAAAACUUUAAAAGC
This is a non-coding RNA of Snodgrassella alvi SCGC AB-598-P14, 58 nucleotides long. NCBI's taxonomy places the organism in Bacteria, Pseudomonadati, Pseudomonadota, Betaproteobacteria, Neisseriales, Neisseriaceae. The record is from Rfam.